RNAcentral lists this ribosomal RNA (254 nucleotides) under uncultured prokaryote. RNAcentral's name for it is "partial 16S ribosomal RNA". It matches the Rfam family "Bacterial small subunit ribosomal RNA", at positions 525 to 777 of the family's 1533-position model. The record is from RNAcentral.
ACGUAGGGUGCGAGCGUUGUCCGGAUUCAUUGGGCGUAAAGGGCUAGUAGGCGGCUUAGCAAGUCGGGUGUGAAAACUUCAGGCUCAACCUGGAGCGGCCAUCCGUUACUGCUAUGGCUAGAGUCCGGUAGGGGACCACGGAAUUCCUGGUGUAGCGGUGGAAUGCGUAGAGAUCGGGAAGAACACCAAUGGCGAAGGCAGUCGGCUGGGCCGUUGCUGACACUGAGGCGCGACAGCGUGGGGAGCAAACAGGA